Hemiscyllium ocellatum (epaulette shark) is the source of this 3784-nucleotide long non-coding RNA. RefSeq lists it as uncharacterized. The record is from RefSeq and is a predicted model, not a curated record. The transcript is spliced from 2 exons. Lineage: Eukaryota; Metazoa; Chordata; Chondrichthyes; Orectolobiformes; Hemiscylliidae.
GAUUGAGGCGAGCGCUCGAGCUUUUUUUUAUUUCCUUUAGAUUUAAGAUGGCGUUCGUUGAAACGGCGGUUGUCAUCUGAAACAUGGCUGAAAGAAGACUUGGAGAGUCUUGUGACCAAUCAGACGAGCAAACCUGGCAACAGAAGUGUAAACUGGCGUGUAGCUGGAAGAAAGGGCUUGGUGUAGCCAGUUGUACUGAUGGUUCUACUGCAUCAGUUGAAGCUGUUAGACUUGAGGAAUUACUGUACAGAAUCUUAUGUCUCGUACGGCUGGUAAAUACCUGAUUUUAACCACUGUAUUAUUUCAAAGGUUUCACAGCACUAACAUUCUUGUUUUUCAGAGUCCUUUCUUAUUCUAUACAGGCUUGAGCAAAAUAAGUGAUUCAAUUUUCUUUUAAACAAGUUGUGUAUGUUUAAGUUCAAAAGGACAGAAAACUAUGUCCAUAUAAAGAAAAACCUGUAGUGGAUUUUUGAACUCCUUGUAGCAUGAUUUGCAUGACCUUGUUCCAUGUACAAAAUUGAUCCACUCUUGAAGUACAAAGCAUCUGCUGGACCAGAAUUAUUUCAUGUCACAGUAAAAUAAAUUAAACAGGUAACUAGGGUACUGUGAAGAAUUUGCUCCCAGUUGAAGUACACAUUUACAUUUUAUGGAUAUAUAGCAGUGCAUCAUGGGAAAGAACGAUAUGCAUUUAUGAUGAGGUACUUGGCAACUUGGAAAAUGGUGGUGGGCAUUGGAGAAAUACUCAGUUCAAGGAAUAUUUUGGAGAUUGUGAAUAAUGGCACCAUGCAAGUAUGAUUAACCUGUUGAAUGGAACAGAAACAUCAUGGAAGUCAACAUGACUGACAACUAAAAUGGAAUUAGAGUUGAAACAGCAACAAUUCAAAUUGCCUUUGAAUGGCUUCUUGUGUUUAGGUUAAACUGCUAUUUCUUUGAGUAAGGCAGCUCUCAUUUGAGCCAAAAUGUGUUAAUUAUUUCCCAUAUAUGGAUUCAAAGAGCCCGAGUUUAACACUUAAGUUUGAAUCAUGAUGAAUUACUUGCUGGAAAUUAUCUGAGAUGGCUACCUUGAUCAUGUGAAAAGGCUGAGAAAGCAACCCCAUCAAAUGAGUGUUUAAUUUAAAAAAAAAUUACUGAACAAUGAAAAUAAAUCCUAUCAGAUUUUGAAUUCAGUAUGUCAUGGAAAAGUAUAACCAGUUAACUUGCUGUAUCGCAGAAAACAUCACCUUGCCACCUCUGUGGAAGACUCUCUUCCCUUUUUGAAACUGUUUAAACUUCUGUCUCUCAUUUUCAUUUUAAUGAAAUGUAAAUGGAAUUAGAGUUUCAAAAAUCAAAAAACUGGAAAAGGCACAAUAGGUCAGGCAGCAUCUGUGGAGCAGGAGAGUUGAUAUUUUGGGCAUUAGCCCUUCAGGAAUGUGGAGGGGUAAAUGGGCUGAGAGAUGAAUAGGGUGGAUGGGGUUGGGGAUGGGACAAAGGAAGGUAGGAUGGUGAUAGGUGGAUUCAGGUAGGAGGCGAUUGUGAUAAAUCGGUGAGGAGGGUGGAGCGGAUAGGUGGGAAGCAAGAUGGACAGGUCAAGUUGGAGAGUUGGAUCUGGGAUGAGGUGGGAGAUUUGGAAACUGAUGAAGUCAAUGUUGUUACCUUGUGGUUGUCAGGUCCUGAGGCGGAAGACUGUAGGUGGUGAAAAUGGCAGAGGAUAGUGUGGUGUACUUGGAGAUUUGUCAAGUGGAAUGUGAGAAAUAGUUGUGUUCUAUCCUUGACGCGGUUGGGAGGUGGGGUUUGAGGAUGGAGGUGUGGGAAGUGGAGGAGAUAGGAGAGGAAAUUGCAGUCCUUGAAAUAGGAGGACUUCUGGAAUUUCUUGGCUUGGAAUUGCUUCUCCUAGGAGCAGAUAUGGGGAUGUGGAGAAAUUGGGAGUAAGGGAUCACAUUUUUACAGGAGAUGGUGUGGAAGGGGGAGUAGUCAAGGUAGCUGUGGGAGUUGGUGGGUUUGAAAUUGACAUCUGUGUUGAGUCAGUUGCCUUAGACCGAGAUGGAGAGAUCCAAGAAGGGCAGCGUCAUGACUGAGCUAGUCCAUGUGAACUUGGAAUCAGGGUGGAAGUUGUUGAAGUUCAUGAACUGUCCAGCCUCCUCGUGGGAGCAUAAAGUGGCACUGAUACAUUCAUCAAUGUAGGGGAGGAAAAGAUGGGGGCAGGUAUGGGUGUCUCUAUGGAAGAGGGAUAUUCUACAUAUCCUCCAAAGAGGCAGGCAUAGCUGGGGCUUCCUUCACCAUCAAAUUAAUGCCACCUGCUGACUGGAGGCAUAACACCUCAUAUCCUGCCUCGGGACCCUACAACCACACAGCAUCAACACUGACUUCAACAGUUUCCAAAUCUCCCCACACCCCUUUCUUCCCCCCCCAACCUCGUCCCAGAUCCUACCCUCCAACUCAGCAUCACCCUCUUGACCUGACCUAUCUGCCCAUCUUCCUUCCUGCCUAUCUGCUCCACCCCCACCAACCUAUCACAAUCACCUCCUACCUGUAUCCAGCUAUCGCAGUCCCACUCCCACCACCCUAUUUAUCUCUCGGACACCUUUCCCCCCUGCAUUCCUGAAGAAGGGCAAAUGCUUGAAAUCUUGACGUAACUGCUCCUCGGAUGCUGCUUGACUUACUCUGCAUUUUCCAGUGCCACACUUCUUGACUCUGACUCUAGAAUAUGCAGUCCUCGCUUCAAAAGCUCACCAACUUUAUGCAGGCUUAAGAGAGGAUAGAGGAGCAUUGAAAAAUAAACCAAUGUUGUACUUUUGGAGGAGAACACUAAAAAUAUGUGAAGCUGAACACAGUCUGCAUCAUCAGUAUUGGUAAAAUUUGACUAUUGAGCUGCACCUGGAAUUAAACACAUCAAAUCUCAUUGAAUUAUCAGUAAUUUCGAGACACAGCAGAAAUUUGCUUACAUGAAGCUUGGCUGGUAAACUGAAAAUUAUGUUUUUGUUUGCUAUCAGAGUCCUUCUCACUGAUUUUUGAACAGACGGCAGAGUGUUUUUGCAUGCAGUCAUCAAUCCCCUAUCUUCAAUUAUAAUUAAAUGAAGAUGAAUUUCUAAAUGGACGAAUUUUGGAUUUUUCAAAUUGAAGCAAUUAUACUUAUUGUGCUGAGUUGUAACACACUUUUUUUUUCAAAUAUCCGGAAGCAUUGGGAGCCUGAGUUCGCUGCUGCUUUCUCCAUUGCAAUGCCUUGACCAGCCACUGAGGAACUCUGUCUUGGAGUGUAAAUUUCUUGUGACUGUUUGUUUGAAAUUUGACGUUUUUUGUAUUUACCCUGAACAGUGCAAGAUGAAUAGCUUCAGCAGCAUGUCUCUCUUCAGCAAUACUUGACUUUUAUACUACCAAACUAUGCUGCAGUUUAAAUUCAAAUAAAAUCUAAUGAUUGAUCAUUUUGGUGAAAAUAUGUUUUAUAUUCUAUUUGAUUCAAAUUUGAAUCUCAAUGCCCAAAACCCAUAGUGAUUUGAACUUACCUUGGUAAACUUAAAUGAACAACCCUACAGAAUGCUAACAUGCUGCAGAAGCUGAAUGAGUCCUUGCAGUAUUUCUGUUUGUAAGGAUAGAAUAUAAAUACAUAUGCUGAAAUUGUGCUGUUAGAAUAUAAUUGUCAGAAAAACCCCUGAUACUAGCAUGCUUGUUAACAAAUGUUCAAUUUGUAAUGUGAAUUGUGCAGAUUGAAUGUUUAAUGCAUAGGUAUCGCAUGUAAGGUCAUUUAAUUCAUGCAAUCAAAUUCAUUUUCCUUUGUUUUAAUUUUGUUAAUAAAUUUUAUUUACAAAAA